This 1844-nucleotide ribosomal RNA is filed under the name Camontagnea oxyclada. RNAcentral describes it as "bacterial LSU rRNA". It matches the Rfam family "Bacterial large subunit ribosomal RNA", at positions 614 to 2629 of the family's 2925-position model. Lineage: Eukaryota; Rhodophyta; Florideophyceae; Palmariales; Rhodothamniellaceae. The record is from RNAcentral.
AAUGAGUCAGUAAGUUAAUAAUGUAUAGCAAGUUUAAAGCGUUUAGCUAAAGACAAUUUAAAGUUAUAUAUAUUAAACCUGAAGCCAAGUGAUCUAACCAUGAGCAGGUCGAUAACUCAGUAACAUGUUUUUGGAGGACCGAACCCGUAUAUGUAGCAAAAUAUUGGGAUGACUUGUGGGUAGGGGUGAAAGGCCAAUCAAACUUGGCGAUAGCCGGUUUUUCACGAAAAGUAUUUAAGUACUACGUUACUAAAGUAAGUUAUAUGUAUAGUAACAAACUAAACAAAGGGAUCCAUAAAAUUUACUGAGUUUAAUUUAACUUCGAAUUACAACUUCAUUUUAGUAAUAGCCAGUCUUUGGGCGAUAAGGUUCCAAGACAAAAGGGUAACAACCCAGAUCGUAUAUUAAGAUCUUUAAAUUAUAACUUAGUGGGGAAGGUUUAUAUUAAAUCAAAUAAAUUUGGAUAGGCUUAGAAGCAGCUUUUCAUUGGAGAAAGCGUUUUAGCUCAUUAUUCUUUUAAUGUAAACCAAAAAAUACUCGAGGCUCCAAGUUAUAUAUCGAAAUAGCGAAUCAAUUUUUUAUAUUUGAUGGUAGUGAAACGUUCUGUACUUAAUUUUUAAUAAUGUAAAUUUUAAAAAUCUAAUCAGAAGUGCUAAUGCUGACAUGAGUAACGAAAACUACGUUAAAAUCGUAGUCGCCUAUUGUUCAAGGUUUUCAACGUAAUUUUAAAUUCGUUGACUUAGUCGGUUCUUAAAAUUAUGGUAAAAACUUAUAAUUGAUAGAAAUUUUUUACCAGUUAUCUACACUUUUUAGUGUGUAAAAAUUUAGUAUUAUAUGUAUUUUUAAUGGUUAAAAUAUUAAAUAAUUAUAAAUUUCAGGAAAAAUGAUAACGUAAUUGACCGUACCUAAACCGACACAGGUGAACUUGUGAAAUACACAAAGGUGAAUGAGUAAAUUAAAUUGAAGGAACUCGGCAAAUUAACUCUGUAAGUUCGCAAUAAAGAGUACCAAUAAAUAUUUUAUUGGUGUCACAAAAUAGAAAGUAACGACUGGUUAUCAAAACCACAGGACUCUGCAAAUUAGUUAAUAAGAUGUAUAGAGUCUGACACCUGCCCGGUGCUUGAAGGUGAUAAAUGCAAGUUAUUGCUUACAUUGUAAUCCCAAGUAAACGGCGGUUCUAACAAUAAGAAUCCUUAGGUAGCGAAAUUCCUUGACGGGUAAGUUCCGUCCUGCAUGAAUGGUGUCACGAUUGCUUUACUGUCUCCAAUUUAACCUCAGUGAAAUUACAUAGCCUAUGAAAAUGUGGGUAACCUGCAGUAAGACGGAAAGACCCUAGAUCCUUUACUUUAGCUUUAUAUUGUAAGAAUCAAUAUUUUAUGUAGAAUAAAUGGAAGUAAUAAAAAUACAUAAUUGAAAUACCAUUUUUCAUAUUGCGUUCUUUCUAAAUUUAUCGUAAGUGUAAUGAUAGUAUAAAGUAGAAAGUUUACUUGGGACGAGUACCUCCUAAAAUGUAACGGAGGUGUACAAAGAUAAAUUACAGUUGUUUUAUUAAACAAUUAAGCGUAUAAUGGCAAUAAAUUUGUUUGACAGUUAGAUUGAUAAAUCGUACUGGGACGUAAGUCAGUCAUAGUGAUCCGGUACUAAUGUGUGGAAAUUGUAUCGCUCAACAAAUAAAAGGAACUCUAGGGAUAACAGAUUCAUCAUGGUUGAGAGCUCUUAUUAAUGCCAUGGUUUGAUACCUCGAUGUCGACUCAUCUUAUCCUGGAAUUGAAGUAGAUUCCAAGGGUCUAGUUGUUCGCUAGUGAAGAAGGUACGUGAGUUGGGUUCAGAACGUCGUGAGACAG